RNAcentral lists this non-coding RNA (319 nucleotides) under Ktedonobacter racemifer. RNAcentral's name for it is "T-box sequence". It matches the Rfam family "T-box leader". Rfam says of the family: Uncharged tRNA acts as the effector for transcription antitermination of genes in the T-box leader family. T-boxes are found upstream of many aminoacyl-tRNA synthetase genes and some amino acid biosynthetic genes usually in Gram-positive bacteria. The record is from RNAcentral. Lineage: Bacteria; Bacillati; Chloroflexota; Ktedonobacteria; Ktedonobacterales; Ktedonobacteraceae.
AAAAAGGCGAUGAUGGGGAGAGUACGUGUAGCGAGUAUGCACAGGGAGAAGGGGUCACCGACUGGAAGCCCUUUCGCAGAAGACCUACACCGAAGUUCACCCCAGAGCUGGCUGUUGAAACCCUGCCUUCAUAAUCCGGCAGGUGUAAGUAGAUAGCCCCGGAGGUCCCCGUUACAGGACAAACCGAGUGGAUUUAUGGUGGCGCACAGUUAUCUUCCAGGUGCUGUGCCUGGCGAUCAUAAUUCAAAACGGGUGGUACCGCGGAGCUUGCUAUUCUAGCGCGAACGUGCAGAAUUUUGCCGACAACUUCGUCCCUGUU